UGUCCCAUGGUGUAAUGGCUAGCACUACAGGUUUUGGUUCUGUCAGUCAAGGUUCGAAUCCUUGUGGGACAA
This 72-nucleotide transfer RNA is filed under the name Porphyromonas asaccharolytica. RNAcentral describes it as "tRNA-Gln". It matches the Rfam family "tRNA". Rfam says of the family: Transfer RNA (tRNA) molecules are approximately 80 nucleotides in length. The record is from RNAcentral. Lineage: Bacteria; Pseudomonadati; Bacteroidota; Bacteroidia; Bacteroidales; Porphyromonadaceae. RNAcentral also lists the same sequence under 4 other names.